ACGGAGGGUGCAAGCGUUAUUCGGAAUUACUGGGCGUAAAGCGCGUGUAGGCGGUCCUGCAAGUCUGAUGUGAAAGCCCCGGGCUUAACCCGGGAAGUGCAUUGGAAACUGUGUGACUUGAGUACUGGAGAGGAUGGUGGAAUUCCCGGUGUGGCGGUGAAAUGCGUAGAGAUCGGGAGGAAUAUCAGUGGCGAAGGCGCCCAUCUGGAUGUUAGCUGACGCUGAGACGCGAGAGCUUGGGGAGCAAACAG
RNAcentral lists this ribosomal RNA (251 nucleotides) under uncultured prokaryote. Its description in RNAcentral is "partial 16S rRNA". It matches the Rfam family "Bacterial small subunit ribosomal RNA", at positions 525 to 775 of the family's 1533-position model. The record is from RNAcentral.